AGGGAUAUAGUUCAGUGGUAGAGUGUGUGCUUAGCAUGCGAGAGGUCUUGGGUUCAAUCCCCAGUAACUCCU
Molecule: transfer RNA, 72 nt
Filed under: Camelus bactrianus (Bactrian camel)
Lineage: Eukaryota; Metazoa; Chordata; Mammalia; Artiodactyla; Camelidae
Also listed under: 2 other names
Rfam family: tRNA
About the family: Transfer RNA (tRNA) molecules are approximately 80 nucleotides in length. Their secondary structure includes four short double-helical elements and three loops (D, anti-codon, and T loops).
Source: Rfam by way of RNAcentral